GCAGAAAUGGUGGAAUGGUAGACACGAAAGACUUAAAAUCUUUUGGGGCGGAAGCUCCGUGCGGGUUCGAGUCCCGCUUUCUGUA
RNAcentral lists this transfer RNA (85 nucleotides) under Muribaculaceae bacterium. Its description in RNAcentral is "tRNA-Leu". It matches the Rfam family "tRNA". Rfam says of the family: Transfer RNA (tRNA) molecules are approximately 80 nucleotides in length. Their secondary structure includes four short double-helical elements and three loops (D, anti-codon, and T loops). The record is from RNAcentral. Lineage: Bacteria; Pseudomonadati; Bacteroidota; Bacteroidia; Bacteroidales; Muribaculaceae.